GUGCCUACUGAACUGAAAGGCAGUCACUAUGCUAAAACUGGCUCAGUUCAGCAGGAACAG
This 60-nucleotide microRNA precursor is filed under the name Microcaecilia unicolor. RNAcentral describes it as "Mun-Mir-24-P3b_pre stem-loop". It matches the Rfam family "mir-24 microRNA precursor family", at positions 8 to 65 of the family's 69-position model. From Rfam's summary of the family: This family represents the microRNA (miRNA) mir-24 family. miRNAs are transcribed as ~70nt precursors (modelled here) and subsequently processed by the Dicer enzyme to give a ~22nt product. In this case the mature sequence comes from the 3' arm of the precursor. The record is from RNAcentral. Lineage: Eukaryota; Metazoa; Chordata; Amphibia; Gymnophiona; Siphonopidae.